CUCCGGGUAGCUCAACGGAUCGAGCACCACCGUGUCUAGAUGGAGGUAUGCGAGUUCGAGUCUCGCCCCGGAGC
RNAcentral lists this transfer RNA (74 nucleotides) under Chthoniobacter sp. RNAcentral describes it as "tRNA-Asp". It matches the Rfam family "tRNA". Rfam says of the family: Transfer RNA (tRNA) molecules are approximately 80 nucleotides in length. Their secondary structure includes four short double-helical elements and three loops (D, anti-codon, and T loops). The record is from RNAcentral. Lineage: Bacteria; Pseudomonadati; Verrucomicrobiota; Spartobacteria; Chthoniobacterales; Chthoniobacteraceae.